CAACGAUAAGAAGUGUGAGAGACACUUCCGCCGUAAGUCCAAGGGUUCCUGCGCAAUGCUAAUCAGCGCAGGGUUAGCCGGCUCCUAAGGCGAGGGCGAAAGCCGUAGUCGAUGGGAAUGAGGUCAAUAUUCCUCAGCCAGUGGGUGGUGACGAAUCCUAAAAGUUGUCAGGUCUUAACGGAUUGACCUGGCAGCGAAGGGGUUCCAGGAAAUAGCCCCCACAUCAGACCGUACCCUAAACCGACACAGGUGGACUGGUAGAGAAUACCAAGGCGCUUGAGAGAACUGCGUUGAAGGAACUCGGCAAAUUACCCCCGUAACUUCGGGAGAAGGGGGCCCCAUAUCUGGGCAACCAGGUGUGGGGGGCACAGACCAGGGGGUGGCGACUGUUUACUAAAAACACAGGGCUCUGCGAAGCCGCAAGGCGACGUAUAGGGUCUGACGCCUGCCCGGUGCCGGAAGGUUAAGAGGAGGGGUGCAAGCUCUGAAUCGAAGCCCCGGUAAACGGCGGCCGUAACGAUAACGGUCCUAAGGUAGCGAAAUUCCUUGUCGGGUAAGUUCCGACCUGCACGAAUGGCGUAACGACUUCCCCACUGUCUCCAACGCAGACUCAGUGAAAUUGAAUUCCCCGUGAAGAUGCGGGGUUCCUGCGGUUAGACGGAAAGACCCCGUGAACCUUUACUAUAGCUUUGCACUGGUAUUCGUGGUGGCAUGUGUAGCAUAGGUGGGAGGCUUUGAGCCGGGGGCGCUAGUUCCCGGGGAGCCAACGUUGAAAUACCACCCUUGUGAUUAUGGAUAUCUAACCGCGGCCCGUCAUCCGGGUCCGAGACAGUGCAUGGUGGGUAGUUUGACUGGGGCGGUCGCCUCCCAAAAAGUAACGGAGGCGCGCGAAGGUGGGCUCAAGCUGGUCGGAAAUCAGCUGACGAGUGCAAAGGCAUAAGCCUGCCUGACUGCGAGACCGACGGGUCGAGCAGAGACGAAAGUCGGCCUUAGUGAUCCGGUGGUCCCGCGUGGAAGGGCCAUCGGUCAACGGAUAAAAGGUACUCCGGGGAUAACAGGCUGAUGAUGCCCAAGAGUCCAUAUCGACGGCAUCGUUUGGCACCUCGAUGUCGGCUCAUCACAUCCUGGGGCUGGAGCAGGUCCCAAGGGUUCGGCUGUUCGCCGAUUAAAGUGGUACGUGAGCUGGGUUUAGAACGUCGUGAGACAGUUCGGUCCCUAUCUGCCGUAGGUGUAGGAGAAUUGAGAGGAUCUGUCCCUAGUACGAGAGGACCGGGAUGGACGUACCUCUAGUGGACCUGUUGUCGCGCCAGCGGCAUAGCAGGGUAGCCAAGUACGGAAGGGAUAACCGCUGAAAGCAUCUAAGCGGGAAACCCACCUCGAAACUAGUUCUCCCUUGAGAGCCGUGGAAGACCACCACGUUGAUAGGCUGGGUGUGGAAGUGCAGCAAUGCACGAAGCUAACCAGUACUAAUCGCUCGAUCGGCUUGAUUGC
RNAcentral lists this ribosomal RNA (1491 nucleotides) under metagenome. RNAcentral describes it as "bacterial LSU rRNA". It matches the Rfam family "Bacterial large subunit ribosomal RNA", at positions 1307 to 2925 of the family's 2925-position model. The record is from RNAcentral.